RNAcentral lists this transfer RNA (72 nucleotides) under Microbotryum lychnidis-dioicae p1A1 Lamole. RNAcentral's name for it is "tRNA-Sup (TTA) (tRNA-Sup-TTA-21-1)". It matches the Rfam family "tRNA". From Rfam's summary of the family: Transfer RNA (tRNA) molecules are approximately 80 nucleotides in length. The record is from Rfam by way of RNAcentral. RNAcentral also lists the same sequence under 1 other name. Lineage: Eukaryota; Fungi; Basidiomycota; Microbotryomycetes; Microbotryales; Microbotryaceae.
GGCCGGAUAGCUUAGAAAUCAAAGCUUUUCCGAUUAAUGGAAGCGACCCAGGUUCGACUCUUGGUCCAGCCG